This 432-nucleotide long non-coding RNA is filed under the name Helianthus annuus (common sunflower). The record is from RNAcentral. Lineage: Eukaryota; Viridiplantae; Streptophyta; Magnoliopsida; Asterales; Asteraceae.
CACAACAGUGGUAUAUAUAUAACACCAAAAAAAUUAACUCAGAAAUAGAUAACUGUAAAAGUUUUGCUCUUUAAUGAAUUACUUACACAGAUAAUAACCCAAAUUUAAUAGAAUAUUCAUAAAAGUACUAUUGAGAAACAUACAUUUAUUAUAUAUGAGUAUAUAACCCGGAUGCGCCUUCUAAACUGCAUCCAACAAAAAUAGUCAUGAAAAUGCAAUAGAAAAACAUGUGAUGGAACUGUAUGUUCUUUUGAUCAGUGAUUACAAAAUGUUAAUUAAUUUCAAUAUUAAUAAAAUCAGACCAUCAGAGAAAAACACAUUCCUUAAUUAUAGGGGGUGUUAAACGGGUCGUGUUUGCGGUUUGGCGGGUUCAACGCGACCCGAAACCGAAAAUUUUAGAUGAACCCGAACACGACCUGAGCCCGAAAAUCG